Molecule: long non-coding RNA, 2214 nt
Filed under: Homo sapiens (human)
Lineage: Eukaryota; Metazoa; Chordata; Mammalia; Primates; Hominidae
Description: non-protein coding lnc-ZNF160-1:1
Source: RNAcentral
GAGAUGGAGUUCCCCUCUCGUUGCCCAGGCUGGAGUGGAAUGGCACGAUCUUGGCUCAACACAACCUCUGCCUCCCGGGUUCAAGCGAUUCUCCUGCCUCAGCCUCCCAAGUAGCUGGGAUUACAGGCAUGCGCCACCACGCCCAGCUAAUUUUGUAUUUUUAGUAGAGACGGGGUUUCUCCAUGUUGGUCAGGCUGGUCUCGCGCUCCCGACCUCAGGUGAUCUGCCUGCCUCAGCCUCCCAAAGUGUUGGGAUUACAGGCGUGAGCCACCACACCUGGCUGGGGAGAUGCUUCUUAUGAGAAUUUUACAUGAUUAUUCAUGAAGGGGUCAUGCAGGGGCGUUACUAGUAAGCAUGUGUUGGGAACUGGUCUGGGCACACAUGUGCCAUGUCAUUUGGAUCUAAAGUCUAACAAGGAAUUUCUGGUUAAAAAAUAAAAUCUCCACACAGGUGUGUGGUUUUUUUUAUUAUUUUAAUGAACAAAAUGGUAUAUUAGGGUGAAUUAUUAGAGAAGUAUACAUGCUUCUUAGUGGGGAAUAGCUCCUACCUUGGUAACCUCUGGCUGGGCCUUGAUAAGUUCCCUUCUGGAACAGAGGAAUGCAGCCACAAGGCCAGGUGUAGCCAGUGUAGCCACGCUCCUCCUUUUGCUGACUCAGCGUGCAGCGUUUCCAAGGAGGCCAUCAGCGGGCUGCAUUUCUAAAGAUUCCUUUCCCAGGGGCUUCCUUGCCUGCUCUUGUCUGGCUACCUGCCUACCCUAACAGUAUUCCCCCUCAAGAGUUGGAGACCCUGAAAAGCUUUGGGCAUAAGGACGUCGUGGGUCUUCUGUAACUACUUCCUGCUGACGUGGGACGAAGAAGUCAUCAGGGUCUCCCUCUCUUGCUCUCUGUCAGGGAAGGAGCCCCUCCGUAGUUGCAGAAUCUUUGCCCACUGGCAUCCAAGGGAGAUAUGUACUUGUAGGUGCUGGGACCUCCAAGGAAGAUUGGAUGAUCUCUUUCCAUUUUUAGGGGCUCUGUGUGAAAUUGCCAUAUCCUGGAAGAGACAUAUUUAAUUAGUGAAUUAUAGAGACAAGGGCCAAAGAGGAGAAAGCAGGCUAUUAAGUGCAGCUGGUCCCAGUAAAGGGACAAACCAUGUGAGGGAGGGGAGGGCAGACUUCACAGCCUCCCAAAUGGACCCUGCUGAAUCACCUUUUCCAAAGUUAUGGAGCCACGUAACCUCAUCAUAGAUCUUUUUUAUAUCCUCCUCUAUCGCCCCACUGUUAUUGACAUAAAUGCAACAGGAUUUACUGAUCACUGCACAGACUCCACCCUGCUCUGCUAAGAGGUAAUCUAAGGCCAAUCUGUUGUUCAUGACUACAUUUGCUAGAGAAUCUAUGGAGGCCUUGAGUUUAGAGAUGCUAUCUCUGGUACUCUUAGCUAUGUUGUCUAUUUGUCUGGAGAGAUUUCUGAGGGUGACAUCAUGAUAAGUGAACCCUCCCCAUGGGGCGAUCAUUCCUAUGGCCGCACCCAUCCCUGCCAGUAUUAGACCCAGAGCUCUUUUCUGUCUGGGUUGGGUGGUGUUAUAAAUGGUCACACCUAUCCCCCGUGGUCCCAAAAGUCCCACAGCACAUUCUCCCGUAUGUUGGAUGUUAUUAAUGCAAGUGUAGAGGUUUGCCACAGGGGGGGUUGAAUAAGUUAUCUUAGGACUUCCAUCAAAGGGCAGUUUAUUUUUUUGUGGCCCACAUAAAAAUACAUAGCCAGGAGGGGUACAGGCCCACCGGGGGAUGUGGCUGUCGAACCACUUGUGUAACUGCGAUUUCCACCCUGCUGGAAUAGUUUGAUUGCAUGCAGGGGAUAGAGGCCCUCCCAGGGGAACAGUAGAUUUUGGCCAUGUGGGGACAGUGUGUGCCUUGGGAAGCAAAUAUAGAACCCUCCAUGUGAUUAGCUCUUUUCCUUCCCAAGCUGCACAGCGGUUUUGGGGUGACUUGUCUCGAUAAUCGUUCAUUUGUUUAGCUGGGGAGAAGCUCAUGGGAUGGAUGGUGGGACUGGGGAAUCCCUCCUCAGAGGUGUUCUUCCUGUCACAGUGUCCUUCAGGGCAUGGACAACAGGUUUGGUUUAGAGAAGAGCAGUUGUAGAAAUAGAAAGAAGUUUUAGAGCUUUGAUUGAAAGGUGGAGUGAGAUCCAGGCAGGGGACUUGGUGCGCUGAGUUAGCAAGCGAAACCUGGAGCGGAACAGAUUU